CUGUACGCGUUAGAAUAUACAAUGUAUCAAAUGAUUUCGAUGCAAACGUGAAACUUGCAAGAGGCACUGUUAUGGCCAGUUUAAAUCAAGGGCAAGAGCGUCUUACACAAGGCGACGAUAUGCGUUUUUUCUCAAAAUUUCAAGAAUUGGAAGAAGGAAAAACGUACAUAAUUAUAGGCAAAGAUGGCUACAGAACCUUUGAUGACAGACAUUCGCUCCUGUAUCCAAUAAUGGGAACAACAUUAGUCAUGGAGUAUAUAAGUCCUUAGCAGUUUAGGAUAAAUAGAAGAAAAUAUAGAACACUUUAUACGAUCCAGUCCAAUUUCGAACGCCUGAUGUUAACCCGUGGUUGUCAAAACAAGUAAUAAUUUUGUCGAAUGUUUAAUUUAAACUCAAGGGUUUUCGACUAAAGAUAUAAAAGAAAGACAUUCAUUUUUGUUGUUUUUCUUCAACUAUUUCGCUAAGACAUGGUUUUUAUUCACGUAUGGUGUCUAUGAUUUUGGUAUGAGAAAUAUUGUUAACGUAAAUGUUUUUUCGAGGGAAACAUUUUCGUGGGUAAGGCUUUAUAACAAUGAAACAUAAUUAUCAAGUCGACAGUGCAAGGAGGGGUAUGAAUUUAAGCUUGUGUUGAUCAAACCCACCAAUGAAAAUAAAUCGUAAACAAAAAAGACUAAGUCUGUGACACGUUCUUUCCUGCUUUAAUGGACAAGUUUUAAGUGUUCCUCAUUCGCUAUGAUAUAAUGGUAUAUACAUGUAUUUUUUAUCAAGAAAAAGAAAAAUAUAAAUUGAAUGAGCUUUUCUUUCUGUUUUUCUUCUUUUCUUAUCUUCCACGUCUAAGGUAUUAUUUUAAUUGAUUAUGUAAGCCCUUUAAUUAGAUGACAUGUAAACAAAACAACACAAGGAGGCAAUCGUAUAAAGUUAGCCAUUUAUGUCCUCUGAUGAUGGAUAAUUUCAAACUACUUCCCCUUAAGUGCUGUCAAUUCAAGGUAAACAACAGGGCUACCUCUUUCGUCGAAGGUAUACGAUAAAUCGCUAUUUUGCUACUUCCGGCACUAAAAUCCGAUAUUAUGCACUAGCUAAAAUGGAGCGAUAGAGCGUUUUAUCGUAUACCUCCGAAAGACAAAGUUCUGUUGUCUAUUAGUAAUCGACAGCAUUUUGGGGAGUUUACUUGAAUAUUGACAUUUUUCCAAACUCAUCACUUAACUUGUAGACAUAUACAAUGUAAUAACCAGUAAAGUAAUACCAGGGCAACCUGUACACCAGUUCAGUCUGAUCAAAAUAGGUGCUGUUGGUAGCUUUAUUUUAAUAUUUAGAAAACUGAGCUAAUCUUUAAGCCAGUUUGAGUAAAAUACACCAAAGAGUGAAAAUAAU
This is a long non-coding RNA of Ruditapes philippinarum (Manila clam), 1371 nucleotides long. RefSeq lists it as uncharacterized. The record is from RefSeq and is a predicted model, not a curated record. Lineage: Eukaryota; Metazoa; Mollusca; Bivalvia; Venerida; Veneridae. The transcript is spliced from 3 exons.